This is a long non-coding RNA of Oreochromis niloticus (Nile tilapia), 10926 nucleotides long. RefSeq lists it as uncharacterized. The record is from RefSeq and is a predicted model, not a curated record. Lineage: Eukaryota; Metazoa; Chordata; Actinopteri; Cichliformes; Cichlidae. The transcript is spliced from 2 exons.
GGAUGCUUGGCCCAGUGUUAAUUGAAUUGAAUUAGUUCCUCUGCUAUGCAACGUGGACAACUUUUCGAAUGUAUACUUCUGAUUUACUCUUGCUUCUGUUGCUCUAACAAAGUGGAUGUUGGCUUUCCAACACAUCUCUUUCCACGCAAUGAAAGUAACGUCUUAUCCCACAAAUAGGAUUUCUUUCAAACUUCAGUUCUCGUAUCAUCAUCAUGAGCAUUUUACGCACGUCAAAUCUUUCCAGUCGUGUUGUUCGUCUUUUGGACUAGUGCUUCUGAUCCAAGUUAACCCACUCAUGCUGUCUUCACAGUCUGUGAGGUCAUGCGUUUAUUGUUGUGUUGCUUUGGCAAAUCAUCUAUCACGGGCCUGCAUUUUGAUGCUAUACUUGUUUACCAGCGAAAAUUCAGCUUCAAAGGAGUUUUGUGAAACCAUAACGCACAGAGCAGGCCUCAAACUACAGGCCUGUUGUGCACUAGGAAUAUCUUUAUGUGUUUAAUAAUGAUGUUUUGUUGUGAGAACUUUGUCGCACUCAUCAGAGAUGCGUUUUUUGAUUCAGGGUUGUUGUUCUUUUUUUUAAAAAAAAGAGAGAGAGAGAGAAGAAGAAGAAGAAAAGAAAAAGAAAAAAGAAAUCAUCCGCAACCUUUGAAAUUUACUUCCUCUUCGCCGAACUCUGCAGCGUUUUACUUAUAUCGUGCCAUCCACUUUAUCACAGCCUCUCGCGUUGUCAGGUUAACGUAUUUUCAAGGACAUUGGGAAUUUGAAGGCAGCGGUUGAUUUGGGGUUUGAUGCAAAAAUGAACCAAGCGGACUGUCUCAAGCAUAUGCUGCUAUGGUCGUCAAGCUGGAGGAAGAGAAGGGCGUCUUGAUGGUGACUUCACUGACACCAACAACUUCCUGACGCAACGCUACUGUAACAGCGGCGGGGAAAACAGCUCACCUUUUCAUCCGAUGAACCAACAUGAUCCUAUUUCUGCAUAGUAAGCCGUCUCAGCUGCUUUUCUCCUCUCCGUUCCAGGAACAGCGGCGGGUUCGUUGCACCAAAGAAUAGUCUGCUUAUGCUUAUAUUUUUCAUAUCAUAGAAAGUGCCAUCCGUUACGCCGUACUUGUUGCAUAGCUUUGCGAUCCCCUUUGUUGUUGGACAACGGGAAAUCGGAUUACCUGGGUUUCAAGUGUGCCCCCAAAUUAUUCUUCAAUCUUUUCUGUUGGCGCGGAGAAAGUGAACUUUUCUACAAAUCUAUGACAGAAAAUAACACAUCGAGGGAGAGCAAAUGGUGGAUGGGAUUAUUGCUCAAAUACAGUCCAGCUUUUACACUGAAGGAAAGCUGAAUGCGUUUGACAGCACAGGUUUUUUUUUUUCUUUCUUUCUUUGAGUGGUAGAAAACUGGAGGACUCCUACUCCUUACUGUGGGGGGUAACGCGUUACUGAGCAACGCGUUACCGCCCUGCACUGUCCGGAAACUAGUUUGAAGUUGAAAAGGCGUGUAGGCUGCACGCGUUCUGCUUUUGAAGACCGUGGCUCGGCGAAGUAACAAAGAGAAAGCCCGUCUCUGCUGUGCGGCUCUGUGCAGGAACUCAAUUUACCGAGACGCACUGUAUGCAAAUGCACCCGUUCCUCUACACGCGCACGGGCGCACCGACCUGUAGUAGCCUGAUCUUGGACAGCCUAUCGGACCCGGGCACCGUGUGCCGUGUAGCCUUGUCUGCUUCACUUUGAAGAGAUGCUGGUCGUCCCGGACACGUGAGCUGAGCUGUUGAGAAGACUUUGUGGCGGAUUUGGAUGAGGGUUUUUUUUUUUUUCUCUGUGCGUUAAUGGCCAGGCGUGCGAACUAUGGUGCGCUCAGAUGUGUGCGUAUGUGUGUGUGUGUGUGUGUGUGUGUGUGUGUGGGUUUUUUUUUUUCUUUCUCUCCCUCGGUCGCUCUGUGUAUCCACCGCUCCGCCUCCUCCCCCCUUUUCGCAACAUUGACGCAACCAAAAAUACUGGAACAAAAGAAACAACUUCCUUGAAGCUUUGCUGAAACUGCACUUAGACGGUGAAUAGAAGGUUGUUGUCAACUUGCCUGGAUGAAAAUGUCGAUGUGAGGGUGUCACCAGUGGCCGGCUGGCAACGAGAGAGAUGCAGUCGAGCCCUCUGAAACGCGCCCAGGCUUAUCCAGUAAGUGCCAUUAAACAUUCAGUGGAGUAAUUUCAACUUUUGCUGUGUGACCUCUCGACUAGUUGAGUUUGCUGUACGCUGUCAGUCAACGCAAAAAUAAAGAGUCGUUUUGGUCGAUUCUCCGCGACGCCGGACACAAAGUAAAGUCUCUCUGAGGUAAUGUUGGCGACCUGACGAGGUAGAGUAUAAGUUAUAUAUUGUGGCAGACGUCGUUGUGCACGAAUGACAAGUUUAUAGCCUUCUCCUUUUCAACAAUCCGGCUCUUAGGAGCCAGUGACAACAAGGCUUUAACUACACUGCUGUCAAUAAAUAAAUAAAUAAAUAAAAAAGAUCCGUCAAAUGUGAACGAGACAUCAGUUUGUUUGAGGCAAAUGUGACGGGGCGACUAUUAGAAAUAGGUUGUGCACUAGCAAGUCUUGAACACGGGCUACCAGUUUAUUAUUGUUAUUCAUGCAGCAGCCUUGAGCUGUCGCCGGUUGCACGAAGAUCCCGGUGAUCUUCAAACAUGUCCACAACGGAGCAGCAGUGCGAGUGUUUUUAUUUAUUAGAUUUGCUGUCACCGUUUCAGAUGAUGUGUCUAACUUUGCUUUUAAAGCUUCGGUCCGCAGUUUGGGGCGGACGAUCACUCCGCUUUGUCGCGUCGCUGUUUUUUACUGCAUGAACAAAGGACUGGAUGGAGUAGUCGGCUCGGCACAGAGCGUCGGUGGAGAGCAGGCGGGCUGUUUACAAUAAUAACACGAUAGCGGUGACGUCACGCAGACUGACAGCAGCCUCGGCCAGUGCGGAGGUCGCGUAGCCAUCAGCAACACGCUAUAUUUGGAAAGCGGUUACAUCAUCGGGAUACAACAGUGGCCCGUGGGGGGAGGGACUUCCGCAGGAAUUCUCGAUUUGUAGUCCAGAAGCAAGACAAUGAAUAGGCCUACAUCAGUUGUGUCUUUGCAGGGGGAAAUCAAAUUAUUUCAGACCUUCUUUGGAUUUCCAUAACCUGCUCACACUCUCAUAUUUCUAAGAUGGUGUGAGAAGUGCCUUAGACAGUCUUUAUGACUGUGGUACUACAAUACCAGUAGGUUCAGGUAACAUAUAAUUGAAUCUCAACAUCUCAAUGGAAAAUGUAAGGAGGCUAUCUCCGAUCGGCAUUCUUCCAGUGUAUCUGCUAAAAUUGUGGGUUUGGGGGAGGCUUGCGAGGCCGAUGUUGACUUUGCAUUGGUGCAUAAUAUUUUCCAGCCUACUUAGUAAUGUUUACUCCCCCAACAUAGUAAGUAAUGGUUCCCUAGUAGUAGUAGUAGUAGUAGUAGUAGUAGUAUUGCUAUGAUACCUGCACCUUUUUUAAGUCAACUUGAAUAUAAGGAUUGCUGCUCUCACACAGCAGCGAAGUGACCACCAGACGUCAAUAAGCAGAUUAACUGCUGCCUGUCCUCAGUCUCCUCAUCCUUAGCUAAAGUGCCUGAGGUGAAAUGGAAGAAAUUUGUUCAAAUUUUGUCAGAUUUUAUAUACAGAUCAGCAUCGGUAAGCCUACACAGCACUCAGAAAGCUGUGGACUCCAAACCGGCUCCAUAGAGCAACUUUGUUGCAAUAACACACAAUCUGCUUUGUGGCGAGCAGCAUCACUGGUUUCCACUUGCUAUACUGUUGUAGGCAGUGGUAGCCUUUGAGUAUUUAAUGUAUUCAAAUGUAAUGUUAGAUGAGUAUUUUCUUUAUUUCAGGCCUCAUUAGUACCAGUGAUACGUUCUCUGAUAUCAUUCAGUCAACCUGAAACCAACAUUUAAUUGAGUUAAGUGUGUCAUACUCAAAUCUAGACACUUUGUUUUUAUAAUAGCACAAAGUCAUGAAUUAGAUGUGAUUGUAUGUCCCUUUAAUGUAAACACUGACAUCAUGUUUAAUGAAUAUUGCCCUUUGAUGAGCUUACAGCAGUUAAGAAAACAAAACAAAAAAAAUGAUUAAAAUCUACACUAAUCUAACUAAACUGACUUAUUUUCAGAGCUAGAAAGCAUCAUGCUACCUAAGGACUGCCGUGACUUCAGUGUGUUUUCCAUAAAACUACAGGCCAGUGUUUUGGCAUCAAAGUAUAGUACAGUAUGUGAGUAGUGUAAAUUCUCGUCUUCCUGGGUAUGGAAAGCAAGAACAGUAUUUGGUAAUGUUCCGAGCACAUUGGGUACUUGAAGAUUAAGUAAUAAAUAAAUAAAGUGCAUUAAAAAACAGAAUGUUCCACCACUGUGUGUAUAUCAUUUUCAAUAUAUUACUGUCAUUCCAGCAUUUACUUGUUUCACAAAUAUACAUCAUGUAAAAUAACAGCUUUUUUCAAAUGUGGUCUUGCAUGUAUCAAAGGUGAAAUGUGUUGGAUAAAUAGGCUUAAUUGAAAUGUUUCUGGACACAGGUAAAAAAAAGUGAGAGAGACAUAAAAGCAACAUCAUCUCAACACUGUGACUUAUACAGUGUGAGCAUAGGAAUAUUUCUCAGUGCCCGUAAAUACAGUUUAUGAAAUCUGUCAGAGGCAGCAGUGGUUUUUAGAUACAUGCCAUUACCUAAACACAGUUAAAUGUCAUAGAUAGCAUCUAGCAGAGAGCUCGCAAUAGACUGUCAAUAAAAGAAGGACUGGCCAGAGGGAUGUUUUUAUUAUGUGAGUCUCCUUUAGUCUUUUGAAUGCCACUAGAGUUCAUAAAUGAUAUUAGACACUCUGUAGUCAUUUUAAAACAGUCUGCUUGGCUUUGUGAAGCUUUCGCAGAGACUUUUUGGUGUAUUUCUUGUUCUAGUGACUCUAACUGUUACAUGAUUUUAAUUUUAAUGUGCUAAUUUGAUUAAGGGGCAUGCAAAUAUGCAUAUAAAAAUGAUUUGUUUACAUUAUUUCUGUAUAGUUUGGGUCUUAGAAGACAGUUAAGAUCUGUGUUGAUCCUGCUGUUCAAACAGUACUUGGCUUUAUCUUUUUUGUCAUCCUUAAAUUUAAUGAUAAAGAACAUAAGUCCAAAUAUAUCGGCAGUCAUCAGCUUGAGGCAAUGACCCAAAAAAAAGAAAACACACCUAAACAAAGUGCUCUUAACACCCAAGGUAACUCUACUGCCCUAAGAUUAACUCUCGCUUGUGUUUAGCCUUCUCUGUUAUCCCUCUCACAAAUCUGCCUCAAAAAUUAAAAAGAAAAAAAAAAAGGUGGUGUGGGGUGUGGACAGUUUAGUUGAGAUUUAAAAAACAAACAAACUACAAGUUCAGGAAGCAGCAUGAAUAAUGUUUUGUUGUCAGAUUUAUAUUUAAACCUACCUUGAAUGGAAAAUGGCUCUCAUUAUGUUACACACCAACGAGGCCACUUUGACUCAGGAUGCAAUAACACAUGUCAGUGCGGUUAUGCUCCAUUUUUUUUAUUUUUCAUCCAUCAGGCAUGGAAUCAUUUGGCCUUUUGGCACAUGACUUCACAUUUAGUCUGGAAAACACAGUAUACUCAUAAUCAACUGGUAUCAACAGCAAAAGUGUCCAAGAACACAAUUUUAGGAUGAAAAUUAGGCGACUUGUGCUGGCUUUGUGACCGAUGGCUCGUUGUUUGCAGACUGCAUGGAAGUCUUUGCUUAUCCUUUGGCUAAUAUAGAGAAUUUCUCUGCUCUAGCCUAGCCUUCUGUGAAAUCCCUUUUUCUACUCUAUCUGCAUUACCACCAGGACAAGUAUAGUUUGUCCCCAUAAUUGUCCUCUGUUAGUGAUGUCGCUUUAGCCUGUCCAAUGAAUUGUGCCCACUUAAUUUGAUUGCUGUGAGAAUGUGUGUAAGCUUAUGGAGAGAACAAGUGAAAAGGGCUUCUUGUGCUGUAACAUCUGAACUUGCUGGCCAAGCAUGUGAUAGUGUUUAGAAGAAUUCUGGCUCUUAGAGUUCAUCUUUUUUUUUUAAAGUGUGUUUUGCGUUCACCUGAGCAAGUUAUCUGUCAAGUGACUUUAUUGAGCGAAAGUUUGUCAUAAAGCAAAAUAAGAAACAUUAUUUACAUGCAAACGAGUUGCAUGCAUGUGUGGAGUGCACGUGUGUGUGUGUGCCCAAUUUUAGAGCACCCAAGGGCUAAUGUGACCACCUUUCAGCCUUUGUGCUAAAAAAAAAAAGGUCAGAGGUCUCUGUUGUGUUUUCAGGAUGACCUGCUAGUGACUAUUAGCCAUUGACAAAUGUGAUGUCCCACAAGUGUGCGGGCCGGACCCCUCCAAAGGGGGAGGUGUCGUAACACGCCCCACACUAACCUCCGAGCCAACCCCACCUCAACUAGUGCAUACACACACACGCUCUGCCCUGCUGACAGGAGCACAAGGGGGCAGCUGCUACAGAUGUCUAGAGGGGGAGGGGAACCAAGGAGACAUCAAUGGAGAGUCUCUCUCUAGUAUGGAGUUUUCUGUGGGGCUCAUUGUGUUCUCUAAAGACCAAGACGAGGGCCAUGUUAAUAUAGUACGCCUAUGAUAUCUUCAACUUCGUUUCAGGCUGCGUUGGUCAUAGGGCUGCCUCGUGCAUAUGCUGCUUUCAGAAGGAACUCUACUUUGAUACAUGCUGCCAAAUCUUCCUAAAUGUUACACAGCUUGAUAUUUACCAAGAAGAGUGGCAGAAUAAGCGGUUCCUCUCCCUAAAAGUGCUGUUUAGUCUCGAGUCUAGGAUGAGGUAAUAUUUCUUUCAUUUUACAGUGUGAAUGGAUCAGACUGUAAUUAAAAAUCACGAUUAUCCAAAUUUCACCACUACAGUGGGAGAAGGGAAAAAAGAAGAAUUCAUUUCACAACCUGCUCAGUUGUGUUGGCUGAUUUAAUCCAGCAGGCAACAAUGUGCCACAGAGAGCUGACAAUGUGCGUACACUCUCCGAUCUGCAAACACCUAAUGCUCCCGAGCGAAGUUAAAUCACCUGCAGUUGCCUUAAGUUGACACAAAUGCUGCAAACUGUGUGUUUUCUGUGGUACAUAGGUGUUUAUUCCUGGUUUAAUACCACCCUUGACCCUCACUCACCCCUUUUGGGUGCUAUUAAUGUGCUUUUUUUGUCUUUUGGGGUUUUUUUUUUAAAAUAAAGAAUGAUGUAUUCAGUCUGCUACUACUGCCUAUUUCCCCACCUUUUCAUAUCACGCAGCCUCAAGUCUGGUGGUGGUGGUUUUGGGGUUGGGCAUCUUUUUGAAGCACAUGAAUCAAGAGAGAGAACCAAAAUAAUGUGUAAAAACCCCUCACUGAGUGGGUAGCGGUUGAGUGUAACAGCCAACCAUGCACACGAGUCAUCUAAACUGAAAUCAAAUUAUGCUGAACUAAAACUACCCCAGCGUAGCAACUUUGCAGCCAGGUUUGCCUGCAGUGGUCAAACACCAUGAUACGUGACACUGUGGCUCUUGUUCGGCGCGUCUACCAGAGGACAAGGGAGAGCUCCACUCUGUCUCAACCCUCCUAAUGAAGAGACGCAUUAUGAUGUGGAUUUCAUUUAGGCCUGCAAAAAAAAAGGGGGAAAGAAAGAAAGAAAAAAAAAAGCUGCCAUGGAUAACGGAGCAGUCUGAGUAGCAUGGUUCGUUUGUGUAGUGACAUGUGACUUGUGUUUUCGUGAGUCAUAAGGAUCUCCUGCCUAAUGGAAGGCAGUGUGUGCUCAUGUGACGGUGACACAAUGCAGGAUGAACUGUAUAGUAUUCACCAGAGCUCAGCUUGGCUACUGUUUUGGCACUGCUAAUAGAGACCCAUGAGGGUCUUGUUAAUUUUUAUCAUAGUGAAACCAAACAAACCACAGUGUCGGUCACUUUAGGGUUUGGGCGAUGAUGAUUGCGUUUUUUUGUUUGUUUGUACACUAAGGAUCAAAGCUGGAAGCACUGCAGAAAUGCAUGCAUGCACUCGUGUGUAUGUUUGUGUGUGUUUGUGUGUGUGUGUGUGUUUGUAAUGUCUAUGAGUACUGCAUCCUAUUCUUCCCAUGGUCAUAGUGGUGUUUUUGCUGGCUCAUCCCUGCCUCUCCACAUGCCUGUUUAACAACACAGAGCUCCUCCUUACUGGCUUCCUGUCCAAACCAGUUUAUCUGUAAACAAGUGUGUUUUUUUCCUCUCCACCCUAUUGUCCACACUACACCAGAAUGCAUACACAAUGGGCUCCCUCUCUCUCCUAGUCUGCUUUUGUACUCAAAAAGUAAAAGGCAUUAUGUUUUUACUACAAUAUACUGCAAUGUAAAGAAAUUAUGUGCUUCCUGAAAUGCUCUAAAGACAUAUUAAGUAUUUAAAGGUCAUUAGCACGAGUCAAAAUUACUUAAGGCACAGUUAAAAACUAAUAGCAGUUGCCGCUAAUUCUUUUUACCAGUGGAACCAACUGCUCACAUAGCAGGUGAAUGCUAUGUGUUGUUAUUAUGUGUGCAUUGGGAUGAAAUGGCUGUCUCUGUUUAUCUUGCCUGAGGUACACUAUGCUACAGUAGAUGUGAUAACAGUGGGGUUAUUGUAGUAGAGCCCAACCCGUACGUGCUUUGGCCACCGCAUGUAUACUACAAUGGUACGUGUAGUUAUAUGGUGUUGCCAAUCUAAUCCUAAAUUGAGAGAAAACGGUUAUCCCAUUACUUACUUAUGGAAGGUGUUAUUUUAACAGAAAUGUCCAAGCCCCCUUUAAAAGGUGUGGAAAUAAAUCAGUGAAAAGUUAAAAAGAAAAAAGUGUAGCGUCGCUAAAAAGGAAAGUUAAUUAAAAUCAGGCACAGCAAUAUGAUGUCACAGCAAUUUAAGAUAAGAAAGCAAUGUUUGAACUGUGGAAAAUAAAACAAAGCCAACCUCAGAGUGUGACUGAAAAGAGUUAGGAAGGAGGACUUUAACUGCUGUCUGAGCCUGUGUUACCUUACUCAGUCAGUGCUUUUCUUUUUUGCUCAUUGUUACCUAACAUUAUUUGGUUUGCAUCUCCAUAGCCUCAGGACUGUUACUUGUUGACCUAUAACACACUUAUACCAGAUGUUAGACUUCUGUCUACAGUAUGCUUAAUUUGGCUAUCCUCGUCAUUGAUAGGCCUGUCACUCCAAGGCAAGCAUUUUAGUGCUAACGGCAGAUUACCACAUCAUCCUAUAAAUGACUAACCGAAUUUGAAUAGACAUUCAUAGUGCUUAUAUGAAAGAUGGUAAGAGAAGUAUGGGAGAAGAGAAGUAGAGAAGUAUUUCAAAUUCUUAUGCAUCCGUAGGAAGAUGCUUUUACAUGCUCUGUAUGGGAUCGAUCCUCCUAUAUACAAUAUUCUAUGGCAAGUAUAAUUAGAAAGAUUGCUUAUACACUGGCAAAAGCCUUAAGAAGAAAUAAUCAGUGACUUGGAAAAGAGCAAACUAUUGUAACCCCAAGCAUAAUUGCAACAUCCUUGCUGUUUUGUUGUGGGUCACUAUGGACUGAAUUUGCUCAGUGUAGCCAGUACAAAUGGAUAUAGUUGCAGGUGUAAAUAACUGUAGCUCUCAGUAAAUGUUUAUUGGUGUACACUCAUGCCUGGUAGGACACAUUAUGCUUGUAUUUCUAACGAUAUAGAUUUUAUUCUAUGAAUAUAGGCCAGCUUGUAUUCUGUUGAUUUUUUUUUACACACACUCUUUUAGUCACACUUUUACUAUGUAUUUAGACAGACUGCAAUGUUUUGUAAAUAGUGCGCAGUCUCUACUAAGAGUAUUCGUGUCAUAUCAGAAAUCCUCGUAUGAACUAGUUUGAACGAAAAGGGUUUCCCGUUAGUUGCUGCCGUAAAAGACACUGCGAGGCCUGAAGAGUUAAUUUGUCGCUGUUGAUCGCUGCGGUGGGCUGCGAGAUCAUUCGAGAGUGCAUUUUUCAGCAGCCAAUCAGCAGGCAGACUCGACACCGUAUUUAGCCAAUAGGGCGAAUGGAAGGCUCUAUCGAAUUUGAAUGAGACAAGUCUUUCGGCGCCAUUUUCGAGUGAACAGCGAUUGCCUCGACAGCUGCGGGUAGAGGAUGCUGCGAAUGUAGAAAGCUGUUCCGAGACGGGGGGGGGAGAAACCAAGCGCUCAAAAACUGCGCUUUUAGAGAAGGAGUCGUGUUAUUUCAACGGAAACACAGAUGCAGAGUCUCCUUGGCCAAUUUAGGAGAAGACUGAAGACUUUAAUCUGAUUCUGGUGAUCACCUGAACGUCUUUAGGUGGUUUAAAUAAUAGGUAAUGGCUCUGUAUCCAUCCGUAAACAUGUGCUAAGGAUUAGAAGGCCAGAAGAUGAAGACAGCGCAAAUAACACAGAAGCAGAGACUGUUUUGAAUGGAAGGACCGCAGCAGCAGUUCUGGUGAUGUUGUAGCAGCACGGAAUGGUUUGUGGGUUAUACUGAGAUGCAGGCCAUACUGUGCUGCCGCACUAAAGCCUGAAUAUACUACAUAGCUAUCAUCUCACAGUCCCUCCACCAAACAUACUGUUGCAGUGAAAGCUUGAGGUAACAGGUAACGUACUGUCACUUUUGCAUAAAAAGUUGUCUUUACUGACUUGAAUUAAUUUCUCAUAGCCUUUCUUCUCCCCCCCCCAGCUGUGAUUUAAAAAGUUGUUUGGGGCUUCCCCAUUCUCAUUUUCUGGUCGCCUUACUGUAGCAGCACGUAAAUAUUGGAGUUAACACUCUAGCUGAAGUCUCCAGUAUUGAUCGUGCUGCUGAAGCAAAGCGGGCCCACUCACAAUCACAGCAACUAACCACCACUGAGUGUACUCAGACUACUCAGGUGAUGGCAGACAGAGGCUGGCCUUUAGAAAUGUUUACAGGUACAGGUUGACUCACUGAUUCUUACUUAAUGUCUAUUCCAUAUUGUAUUGACAUGUAAAAUAUGUAUACUACAUUUUAUUACACUUCACUAUUAUGUGUAAACCUUUUGAGAAUAAAAACGUUUUAAUUCGG